UAAGCUAUAGUGGUAACAUAGCAAGAUAA
RNAcentral lists this non-coding RNA (29 nucleotides) under Mus musculus (house mouse). The record is from RNAcentral. Lineage: Eukaryota; Metazoa; Chordata; Mammalia; Rodentia; Muridae.